RNAcentral lists this ribosomal RNA (160 nucleotides) under BTEX-degrading bacterium enrichment culture. Its description in RNAcentral is "partial 16S ribosomal RNA". It matches the Rfam family "Bacterial small subunit ribosomal RNA", at positions 347 to 519 of the family's 1533-position model. The record is from RNAcentral.
GGCAGCAGUGGGGAAUAUUGCACAAUGGGCGAAAGCCUGAUGCAGCGACGCCGCGUGAGGGAUGACGGCCUUCGGGUUGUAAACCUCUUUCAGCAGGGACGAAGCGCGAGUGACGGUACCUGCAGAAGAAGCACCGGCUAACUACGUGCCAGCAGCCGCG